AACGAACGCUGGCGGCAGGCCUAACACAUGCAAGUCGAGCGCCCUUUCGGGGGAGCGGCGGACGGGUGAGUAACGCGUGGGAAUAUGCCCUUCUCUACGGAAUAGCCUCGGGAAACUGAGAGUAAUACCGUAUACGCCCUGUGGGGGAAAGAUUUAUCGGGGAAGGAUUAGCCCGCGUUGGAUUAGGUAGUUGGUGGGGUAAUGGCCUACCAAGCCGACGAUCCAUAGCUGGUUUGAGAGGAUGAUCAGCCACACUGGGACUGAGACACGGCCCAGACUCCUACGGGGAGCAGCAGUGGGGAAUCUUAGACAAUGGGGGCAACCCUGAUCUAGCCAUGCCGCGUGAGUGAUGAAGGCCUUAGGGUUGUAAAGCUCUUUCAGCUGGGAAGAUAAUGACGGUACCAGCAGAAGAAGCCCCGGCUAACUCCGUG
Molecule: ribosomal RNA, 431 nt
Filed under: uncultured bacterium
Lineage: Bacteria
Description: partial 16S ribosomal RNA
Rfam family: Bacterial small subunit ribosomal RNA
Source: RNAcentral